CCUACGGGAGGCAGCAGUGGGGAAUAUUGCACAAUGGGGGAAACCCUGAUGCAGCGACGCUGCGUGAGUGAAGAAGUAUUUCGGUAUGUAAAGCUCUAUCAGCAGGGAAGAAAAAAGACGGUACCUGACUAAGAAGCCCCGGCUAACUACGUGCCAGCAGCCGCGGUAAUACGUAGGGGGCAAGCGUUAUCCGGAAUCACUGGGUGUAAAGGGAGCGUAGACGGCUGAGCAAGCCUGAAGUGAAAGGCGGGGGCCCAACCCCCGGACUGCUUUGGGAACU
RNAcentral lists this ribosomal RNA (280 nucleotides) under uncultured bacterium. Its description in RNAcentral is "partial 16S ribosomal RNA". It matches the Rfam family "Bacterial small subunit ribosomal RNA", at positions 338 to 634 of the family's 1533-position model. The record is from RNAcentral.